This 274-nucleotide ribosomal RNA is filed under the name uncultured bacterium. RNAcentral describes it as "partial 16S ribosomal RNA". It matches the Rfam family "Bacterial small subunit ribosomal RNA", at positions 523 to 796 of the family's 1533-position model. The record is from RNAcentral.
AUACGGAGGGUGCGAGCGUUAUUCGGAAUCACUGGGCGUAAAGGGUGCGUAGGCGGUUUGAUAAGUCUGAUGUGAAAUCCUAUGGCUCAACCAUAGAACUGCAUUGGAAACUGUCAGACUAGAAUACUGAAGGGGCAGAUGGAAUUAGUGGUGUAGGGGUAAAAUCCGUAGAUAUCACUAGGAAUACCGAAAGCGAAAGCGAUCUGCUGGGAAGUUAUUGACGCUGAGGCACGAAAGCGUGGGGAGCAAACGGGAUUAGAUACCCUAGUAGUCC